GACGAACGCUGGCGGCGUGCUUAACACAUGCAAGUCGAACGAUGAAGAAGAGAAACGCGAACUUCGGUUCAAAUUUCACUUCGGAUUAGUGGCAGACGGGUGAGUAACGCGUGAGCAACCUACCUCUUACAAAGGGAUAGCCUCGGGAAACCGUGAUUAAUACCAUAUGACACAUUCAUAAGGCAUCUUAAGAAUGUUAAAGCUACGGCGGUAAGAGAUGGGCUCGCGUCCCAUUAGCUAGUUGGUGAGGUAACGGCCCACCAAGGCGACGAUGGGUAACCGGGCGGAGAGGGUGACCGGUCACCUUGGAACUGAGCCACAGUCCAAACUCCUACGGGAGGCAGCAGUGGGGAAUAUUGCACGAUGGAGGGAACUAUGAUGCAGCGACGCCGCGUGAGCGAUGAAGGAAUUCGUUUCGUAAAGCUCUGUUCUAUGGGAAGAAAAGGACUGUACCAUAGGAGAAAGCCCCGGCUAAAUACGUG
RNAcentral lists this ribosomal RNA (482 nucleotides) under uncultured bacterium. Its description in RNAcentral is "partial 16S ribosomal RNA". It matches the Rfam family "Bacterial small subunit ribosomal RNA", at positions 28 to 507 of the family's 1533-position model. The record is from RNAcentral.